RNA transcript from Sorghum bicolor (sorghum), 966 nucleotides. It is a transcript of the gene named thioredoxin Y, chloroplastic, with no coding region annotated. The transcript is spliced from 6 exons. The record is from RefSeq and is a predicted model, not a curated record. NCBI's taxonomy places the organism in Eukaryota, Viridiplantae, Streptophyta, Magnoliopsida, Poales, Poaceae.
UGAGUCGUCGCUCUCUUUCUUCCUCCGCGGCAUUGGGAAAGGGAACGAGAGGCGAAGCAGAUAAGAAAGAAAGCCAGCCGGCAAGGGGAGCCACACCGGCCGGCGUCGAGAAACCCUAGUGCGAGCGGCUCGACGACCCCUACCACCCUCAUGGCGACCUUCGCUACCGGCAGCGCCACAGCGCGCGCGGCGCUGGCGUCGCCGACUCCGUGCCGGCCGGCCGCGCUCGCCUCGCGCCCGGCGCCGGCGCUGUGGAUGCCGCUGCGCUGCUCGACGCCGGCCCUGGGCCUCAGGGGAGGGUCCGCGCGUUCUCGGCGGGGCGCCACGCUACGGGUGGAGGCUAAGAAGCAAACGUUUUCUUCGUUUGAUGAGUUGCUGGAGAAGUCUGAGAAGCCUUUAUUAGUUGACUUCUAUGCAACUUGGUGUGGUCCAUGCCAAUACAUGGUUCCCAUACUUGAAGAAGUCAGUGAAAAGUUAGGCGACAAAAUUCAAGUUGUGAAAAUUGAUACCGAGAAGUACACUAGCAUUGCAAGUCGUUACAGAAUUGAAGCAUUGCCAACUUUUAUCAUAUUCAAGGAUGGGAAACCUUGCUAUCGCUUUGAAGGAGCAUUGCCUGCAAACCAGAUGAUCGAACAGAUUGAGAAUGCUUUGGCAGUCACGAAGUAGCACAUAUGACCAUGCAAGUGAAUGGAUGCCCAUUGAAUCGUUUGUCACCAAAGGAAGUGGCACUGCUGUGGAUACCUGAGAGGCGAGAUAGUUCUUCUGGCUCUAUUCACCCAAAGGCAUCAGUUGAAUACGAGUGCCAUACUUGUUUUUGCAAUAUGUCCUGUUGUAAAGAAGUCCUCAUCCUGAUUACGGAGAAUCUGAAAUGAGAUUAAGAGUCCAUUUUCUUUUCAGUUUUCACAUGGAAGAUAUACAUUUUUUAUUUAAAGAAACAAAUAAAGGGGACGUACUUAUUCUUUGACA